Molecule: long non-coding RNA, 459 nt
Filed under: Elaeis guineensis (African oil palm)
Lineage: Eukaryota; Viridiplantae; Streptophyta; Magnoliopsida; Arecales; Arecaceae
Description: long non-coding RNA (EGUI_LNC063309)
Source: RNAcentral
AGUAUAAAGAUACUGAGCGACGAGUGUGGAUAGUUGUUAGAGAAUAAUUAGUACUGAGCGUGACUAUAUGAGAGAUCACUUGGAUUUCUACUUGAUCAUCAGUGAUUGUCUCGAUGCUAUAGUUGUGUGAACGAUCUUUUAUCCUGCAAUGAUACGACUGCUCGCAAUGAGACUGCUAAAGUUGGACUGAUAUAUAAAUAUGAUCUCAAUGAGCCUUUGUAGUGGAUAUUGGCGAUAGUUGGUCUACUGUAGGAGUAGGAUGCGCAUCAAGAUGAAAUCUAUCAAGCUUGAAAGAAAGUAGUCCUAUGGGAUUUGAGAGGCUAAGUUUGAGAGUCUGUGGCCAUAGCAGUGUGAUUGAUGAAAAAGAAUUUUCAUAAAGAUCAUAAUUGGACUUGAGUUGAUCGAAUUUAUUAUAUGACUGAUGAUGAGAUUUGAUGAUUUAUCCUUGAUCUGCCAUCU